AACGGGUGAGUAACGCGUGGGCGACCUACCUUCGAGUGGGGGAUAACCUUCCGAAAGGAGGGCUAAUACCGCAUGACAUCCCGUGUUUGGAUACACGGAGAUCAAAGCCGGGGAUCGCAAGACCUGGCGCUUGGAGAGGGGCCCGCGUCCGAUUAGCUAGUUGGUGAGGUCAUGGCUCACCAAGGCUCCGAUCGGUAUCCGGCCUGAGAGGGCGGACGGACACACUGGGACUGAGACACGGCCCAGACUCCAUAACGGGAGGCAGCAGUGGGGAAUUGUUCGCAAUGGGCGCAAGCCUGACGACGCAACGCCGCGUGGAGGAUGAAGACCUUCGGGUCGUAAACUUCUUUCGACCGAGAUGAAUUCCUGCCGGCCUAACACGUCGGCGGGUUGACAGUAUCGAGGGAAGCAGCCCCGGCUAACUCCGUGCCAGCAGCCGCGG
This 442-nucleotide ribosomal RNA is filed under the name uncultured bacterium. Its description in RNAcentral is "bacterial SSU rRNA". It matches the Rfam family "Bacterial small subunit ribosomal RNA", at positions 101 to 520 of the family's 1533-position model. The record is from RNAcentral.